This 370-nucleotide ribosomal RNA is filed under the name uncultured organism. RNAcentral describes it as "bacterial SSU rRNA". It matches the Rfam family "Bacterial small subunit ribosomal RNA", at positions 526 to 896 of the family's 1533-position model. The record is from RNAcentral.
CAGAGGUCCCAAGCGUUGUUCGGAUUCACUGGGCGUAAAGGGUGCGUAGGCGGUCGGGUAAGUCUGAUGUGAAAUCUCACAGCUUAACUGUGAAACUGCAUUGGAUACUAUUCGGCUUGAGAGUUGGAGGGGGACUGGAAUUCUUGGUGUAGCAGUGAAAUGCGUAGAUAUCAAGAGGAACACCAGUGGCGAAGGCGAGUCCCUGGACAACUUCUGACGCUGAGGCACGAAAGCUAGGGGAGCAAACAGGAUUAGAUACCCUGGUAGUCCUAGCCGUAAACGGUGCUUAUUUGCUGUAAAAGGAUCGACCCCUUUUGUGGCGUAGUAAACGCGUUAAAUAAGCCGCCUGGGAAGUACGGUCGCAAGAUUA